GGAUAUUUAGUCCAAUGCCUAGGACACUUGAUUUCGGCUCAAGAGAUUGAAGAUAAAACCCUCAACUAUCCU
RNAcentral lists this transfer RNA (72 nucleotides) under Myctophum affine (metallic lantern fish). RNAcentral's name for it is "tRNA-Arg". It matches the Rfam family "tRNA". Rfam says of the family: Transfer RNA (tRNA) molecules are approximately 80 nucleotides in length. Their secondary structure includes four short double-helical elements and three loops (D, anti-codon, and T loops). Further hydrogen bonds mediate the characteristic L-shaped molecular structure. tRNAs have two regions of fundamental functional importance: the anti-codon, which is responsible for specific mRNA codon recognition, and the 3' end, to which the tRNAs corresponding amino acid is attached (by aminoacyl-tRNA synthetases). tRNAs cope with the degeneracy of the genetic code in two manners: having more than one tRNA (with a specific anti-codon) for a particular amino acid; and 'wobble' base-pairing, i.e. permitting non-standard base-pairing at the 3rd anti-codon position. The record is from RNAcentral. Lineage: Eukaryota; Metazoa; Chordata; Actinopteri; Myctophiformes; Myctophidae.